UUUUUUUUUUUUUUUUUUUUUUUUACCACCACCCCUGUGGCAUCUGGAAGUUCCCAGGCUAGGGGUCAAAUCGGAGCUGCAGCUGCCGGCCUUCACCCAGCCACAGCAAUGCCAGAUCAGUCCCACAUCUGCAACCUCGCAGCAGUUUGUGGCAAUGCCAGAUCCUUAACCCGAUGAGCAAGACCGGGGAUCAAACUCGCAUCCUCUUUGUUACCAGUCAGUUUCUUAACCGGCUGUGGCACAAGGGAAACUCCCCAGCCGAUUCUUAAAACACAUCCUUUUCCUAAAAAAGAAACAUCUUCGCAAUUUCUCACACAAGACUGACAAAUACAAAUUCAGUAUUCUUUUGGAAUAAAAAGGUUCUAACUCAAAAUCUCCCACAAAACUCAAAGCAGAUUUCUUCUACAUAAAACCUGCUUAUACAGCCAGGAGUUCUUUGGGAUGCAAUACCAGAUCGUCCCCUAGGAUAUCCUGCUUUCAUCCCCAGUGCCUACAGAUGACAAAAGGUACUUGGCAGGGUGGGGUUUCCUUCCACACAGACAAUCAGCCUCCAAAGCAAGGAGUGAGGAAGCCAGAGUCUAAGUGACCGUGCCGCUUCCUUGGCAGCCUUUGCGCUCCAGAGUCCCAGGAGGAGAAAGACGGAAAGGGGCUUACAAAGAAAUCACAACUGUCAUUUAAUGAAUUGAUGCAGCCGUGCUUUUAAUAGCCCCAUUUAACUGUACAGUCGUAUUUUCUGCACAAGCCCUCCUACCACUAAUGUGCUAUAGGAUUUCAGCCAAGUAUUACUUAGGUGUUAUCAAAUGAUGGCAUUUAACUUCCGGUGCACGGGGUGGGGUUUCUUAAAAAAGAGGAGUGUGAUUAAUAGCAUAAAAAUGAUAGCAGGCUGCCACCAUAACCCUGAAGACAAGAAAUGUUCAUUUUCGUUAUUUUAAAACCAUAACAUCAUCAAGUCCAUUACGGAGAACUAAGGGCUAUAUCUGACCUCAGACUGAGGCAAAUGGAUGGCUUUUCUCACCCCAAGAUAACAUGACAAGCCUAAAAUAGCAAAAUGUAUUAAAAAUAGUAAAUGUCUUAGCUGAACCCUGCUGUGUCCAGGGGUGUGUUUAUUUCUAAACCUUCCCAUCAUGCAACAUAAGACAAUGCAAAAAGGACAAUCUGAUGUGAUGAGUCUCACCAUUGUUCUAAGAAGCACUGUUCUUCACACCGAGUGGCAAAAAAUGUGUUUGUAAAAAAUGUGUGUUUGUAAAUACGUUUGUCACGUGGAGUGUAAAACAGACACUGUGAAAGACCAUCUUAGGAUUAUAACUGGAAAUCUUUUGACUUUACCAUCUGAAAAAUUCUAUUUGAUCUUUCUCAAUUAUCACAAUGUGCAUAAAACUCUCAGGAAAUGAAACCAUUUAUAAUGUCACAGUAAGACAGAAGACGCUAAAACAAGGAUUUUUUAUGUCUAAAAGUGCUUUUUUAUUUUUAGCAAGAAAAGGAUGGGCAUGGAAUUCCCUGGUGGCCUGGCAGUUAAGGACCCAGGGUUGUCACUGCUGUGGCUCGGGUGACUGUUGUGGAGCGGGUUUGAUUCCUGACCCAGGAACUUCCAAAUGUCAUGGGUGUGGCCAAAAAAAGGGAUGGGCUGAUUUUUUAAAAAUCUGAGUGUUAAUAUUCUCUUCAACUAAAAAGUUCCAAACUUACAGAUAAUGCAACCCAAAACACCAUUUGAGGCCCAAUGUAAUUGCACGUUACAUACUCAAUAGACCACAUUUGUAAAAUUCCAACUUCAAAUAACAUUCUUCCAAGUCGCUCCCAAGUCACCUCUCUCCACAUCACCAAUGUCAUUUUGCCAGUUAUCCCAAUGUCAUUUUAAUUUCUCUCACACACUCUAAAGUUCUUCUGAAACUGCAAACAGAGAAGAAUUAAGUUGGUGGUGAGGGAAAACAACCUGAAAUCUCAGAACAGGGAGGCUAGCACUAAUGAUUAAACUUCUCUUCCAAUCAGUUUCUCCAUCUGGGUUACCAGGAUACGCAAUGGAGUACGGUACUUAUGGCUCAAGAAAUUUUUAUAUCUCCUAGAGCUGAUUGGCAAGAGCAAUCAAUAGUAGAACUGGUGGGGCCUGGGGGAUAGAGAGAUAGACUCUUCCCUUUAUACUAAGCAUAAAAUGGGAUAAAAUUCCUUCUUGGGAUGAAACAACACCUGUAGCUAAACUCCGAACCUGAGUCAUCUAAGUACCAAGUUUGAAGUUUAAAGACUUUAGAAUGAGCUUGGCACACAAAAAAGCACUUAAUAAGUGCAUAUUCAAAUCAUGAAUGAAUAAAUCUACAGGACAGUCCACAAUGUACUAUGCUCAUCUAGUCCCCACUGCUCCUAUUAGCUGCUGUGAGUAUAUCUUCUGAUAUGUGGCCAAUCAUCCAACAGUCACCGUAAGUGUUUAAUGAUCCUGGCUGUCAAUGCCAGUCUGGCCCUAAUCCAUAUUCUGAACACGAAGAAUUCAAAUACCAAGUAAACCCCAAUAUCAUUAGACAGAUCUUCUGCCUAUGCCUUAGUAGAUAGCUCAGCAUCUCUCUUCUUAACCUAAACUAGUUUAACUGGUUUCUAAAAAGUCAUCCUCAUCUUGGUGUCCACACUGCCCAGCACACAGCAAGCUCAGCAGAGAUUUCCUAAACUCAGGAAUCAAGGACUGGUUUUUUGGUCAACGGAUCUCAACAAGAAAAGAGUAAAAGAAAACACCAUCACACCAACCUGCUUAAGCGGCUGAUGCCUUAUCCCUGACCUAAUAAUCCCAUUAAAGUGGACCUGGAGGAACACAUCCAUUAGUUUGGAGGGUAGAGGUGGGGGAAUCAAAGAAAUACACAAAUGACUGGUCUUCACACCCAAGCUCUCUCGGACAAACUGAAUGAAGACGAUUCAACAUCCCUGACUAGGACCUUCAUGAGAACCUAGACCAAGGUAGUUAUAGGGUUUAGAGAGUAUAAUGCAAAGAGCAAUUGUCACAGCACUGUAAAUCAACUAUACUUUAAUACAAAUAAACAAAUAAAUAAAUUAAAUGCAAAGAACCCUCCGAGCUAGAAUAAACAGGACUUGCUAAAGUCACCUUGUUUUAGAUGCUACUACACCUGAUCCACUGUAAGCCUCCUGCUCAGAAUUAUUACAAAGUCCCUACUACCUGCUAUGGUCUGAAUGUUUGUUUCCCCCCAAAUUCACAUGUUGAAAGCUAACCACGAAGGGGACAGAAUCAGGAGGUGGGGCUUUGGGGAGGUUAUUAGGUCAAGAGGGUGGAACUCUCAUGAAGAGGAUUAGUGCCCUUCAAAAAGAGACACCAGAGAGAUCCCUCAUCCCUUCCACCAUGUGAGGACACAGCAAAACGUGGGUAGUCUGCCACCCAGAAAGGGACCUUCGCCAGAACCCACCCAUGUUGGCACCCUGAUCUUGGAUUUCCACUUUUUAUGAGAAAUACGUUUAUGGUGUUUCUAAGCCACCCAGUCUGUAGUAUUUUGUUAUAGCAGCCCGAACAGACUAAGACACUACCUUAGUACUUAUCACAAUGCAUCUUGUUCAGGUUUGGCUGCGUGCACAUCUAUCCCGAUGACCCGACUAUAGGCUCAAAGGCAAUCAGAGCUUUGUUCAGCCAUUCAAUAACUAAGCAAGACGCUGAGUUAGGCAUGCUACAGAAUUCAGUCAUGGUCAAGCCUUCCUGAUG
This 3685-nucleotide long non-coding RNA is filed under the name Sus scrofa (pig). RNAcentral describes it as "lncRNA (ENSSSCG00005018346.1)". The record is from RNAcentral. Lineage: Eukaryota; Metazoa; Chordata; Mammalia; Artiodactyla; Suidae.